This 12697-nucleotide long non-coding RNA is filed under the name Populus trichocarpa (black cottonwood). Its description in RNAcentral is "long non-coding RNA (PTRI_LNC002292)". Lineage: Eukaryota; Viridiplantae; Streptophyta; Magnoliopsida; Malpighiales; Salicaceae. The record is from RNAcentral.
CUCACUUUACAUGCGUUUUAUUCGUACAGUGUUUAUGAGGUAGAGAUUUCAAAUCUUCAUUGUGUUGCCGAUGUCGAUAACAAAUCGGUAUCUGACAUCUGUUUUCAUAAGCCGCUCCAUGGCUGUGUUCACAUAAUCCAUCGAGAUAACCUCAAUGUCUGCCGUGAUGUUGUUCUUGGCAGCAAAAUCAAUCAUCUCCUGUGUUUCCUUCAUUCCUCCUAUGCAACUCCCACCCACUAUUUUUCUUCCUGCCAAGCCAAUAACAUGGAAUUCGUCGCUGUCAGCUCAAUACCAAAAUAAAUUUGGAACACAUAAUGAGAUGCAUGCAUAUAUACAUACCCAUGAGCAGAGGAAACACUGGUAGCUCAAGUGGCUUCUCAGGCGCACCAACCAAGACCAGCUUUCCUUGAGUCUUCAAUAGACUAAUCAGAGGCAAGAUAGGAUGCAUGGCCGACACCGUGUCAAUUACACCAUCCAUUGUGCCCUUUGCAGCCUGAAUAACAAGCAAUACUAUAUUAUGUUUGAUGUUUAAUUGGUUUUACAGAUACAAGGAAUGUGCUCUGAACCAUGUUUAUAUACCUGCAUCUCAUCCUGGUCACGACUAACUAGAAACGAGUCAGCACCAAGAUGCUCAAGGGCUUCUUGUUUCUUCUUGGGAGAGGUGCUAAUAACUGUAACCUUGACCCCCAUGGCCUUUGCAAACUUUACAGCUACAUGACCUAGCCCGCCGAGCCCAACCACGCCCACAUGCAUACCCGGUUUGUCAAGAUUAAAAAACCUCAAGGGGCUGUAAACUGUAAUCCCAGCACAUAGGAGAGGCGCAGCGGCAUCUAGAGGUAGGUUGUCUGGAAUACGAACUACGAAGUGCUCAUCCGUGACCAUGCUGUUCGAGUAGCCUCCGUACGUGGUGGUUCCAUCGGAGUAUUUGGUACUGUAGGUGAGUAUCAUUUUUGGGCAAUAAUUCUCGAGAUUGUUGUUGCAACUAUCGCAAGAGUGGCAUGAUCCAACCAUGCACCCCACCCCCACUUUGUCUCCAACUUUGAACUUCUCAACUUUGCUUCCUACCUCUGUCACUUCCCCAACAAUCUCAUGCCUGCAGUGCCAAUUUAAUUUAAUUAACCCUCAGAUGCAAUGCAUGGAUGAAUUUAGUCCAGUCAAAGUUCCUCUAAACAUUUUCCUUGGACUGCCAAUUGCCAUUCAUAAUGUUUAUGUGCAAAAAAAAAUGAGAAAUAACUAUAUAUACGGUCAUAGAUUUUUCGUACUGUGUGUACAUACCCGGGAACUAGAGGGUACAUGGAAGUACCCCACUCAUUCUUGGCCAUAUGAAGGUCUGAGUGACAUAUUCCACAAAACAGCACCUUGAAUCGCACAUCCUUCUCUCCUGUAGACCUGUUGCAAGAAGGUUUUUCUUGCUUAGCAUAAACCGCAAGUGAAAAUGAGAGAUAUUCAUAGGUAGAAAAUCAAUCAGAUCGCCAUUCACCUACCAUAAUAUUACUAAAAAUAUAAAGCUAUAACAUGUGAUUCAAUAAACUUAUUUCACAUAUUAAAAAUAAAAGACUGCCAUAUAUCUGAUGUAGCCCAUCUUGCAGCUGCGCUGAAUGCUUGUUGGUGUUUAGAAAAACAAGAAGAAAAUGGAUCCAAGUAAACCGAGCUAGACGAAAAGAAAAAUAAAAUCCCAUAAUUAAAUAAAGCAGCGACAAGAUGGAGGAGAGGGAAUAACCUCCUGGAGAAUUUGAAAGGAGAGAGGACCCCGGAUUGGUCUCUGGCUGCCCAUCCAAAAGCCUUGUUAGGAUGUUCUUCCUCGUAAGAUUUUUCUGCCAUUUCCCCCCUCGUUUUGCUUUAUUUGGUACUGCCGAGAGAGCGUGCAUGGUGCACCUAUUUAUAAUGGCGGUUGGUCUGCCAUUGCGUAUUGGCAGGGAUGACAUACUGGGUGAGCUAAGCACCUUAAGUCGCUCAUCCGUGAGCUAAUCAAUUACCUUGAGAGAAAAGCCAUGUCCAUGUAGUCAUAUUUUAUUUUUUUCAUAAUCAUCAGAGUAUACUGAAAAGGCUAUAAAGCCAAUACUCAAAGUAAAAUAUAGGUAAAAAAAAGAAAAAGAAAAAAAAUAACAGACUUAUGUAACCAAAUAGUUCAAUAAAAACAAAGAGAUUACUUAAAAUUUCUUCUUACACCAGAAUUUGAUGUCAUCAAAAGAUCCUAAGAGGUCUUUUCCUGUAUAAGUGAAGUUUGAAUCUAGAAUAUAUAACCAAAUAGCAACCCGAUGAAGGAUGAUGAAGAAGUAAUCAAACAAGCUUAUGGAUCCCUCCUUAAAAACAAUUUUGUUUCUCAACAACCAAAUACCCCAAGUAGUACUGCUGGAGAUUAGUCUCCAAGCUAAUCUUUGGAAUUUGCCUUGCAUCAUUACGGGCCAUUGUAGAAGUAGCGAGUCUAGAGUGCUCGGUAAACAACAUUGGAUACCUCACAAAUCCAAAACUUUCAUCCAAACACUCCUAGAAAAGUUACAGUGUAUAAAAAGGUGCUCUGAAAUUUUCAAAUCUGAGCUGCAAAAGACACACGAAGCUUGUGUGGCAGACAAAACAUUCCGAUGAUAGAGAAAAGCUCUUGUACUAACUUUUUCCUGAAUUGCCAAUUAGAGAAACACCUGAACUUUCAGAGGGGCCCAUUUAAUCCAAACGUUGGCUUCAAAAUCUCUAUCAUUACUAGAGGAGGUACUAUCAAUGAGAAUGCAACAUGACUUAACUGAGAAGCUUCCAUCAUAAUUACAUGACCGCAUGAGUUUGUCAUCUUUUCCUUGCCGAAUUAUUAUUGGCUCCAGCAUUGAGAGCAAUUGAUGAUAUUGUUGCUCUUCCUAAGAUAACAGGUUCCUGUGCCAAACCAAAUUCCAUCGCCAAUGAUCAUUCACUUAUUGACCUAUCUCAUGAACCAAAUCAUUCUGAUUAGUUGAAACUUUGUAAAGCCUCGGGAAAAUGCUACAAAAGCAUUUGAUUCUAUCCACACGUUGGACCAAAAGAGAAUGGAGGACCCAAUCAUGAAUUUAAGGUUUUGACGCAAUACUAAGCCAAUAACACUGUUUGGAUCCAAAACCAACAAAAUAUCUUUCCAAAAUGGGGAAAUAUAACCAUGCAAUUUUGGGAUUCCAUUCUCGAAAGUUAUGGAGUAAAAUUGGAUGUUACCUAUUUUCAUAAGGCAUGGCUGGCGAGUGUAGUAAUAGUUACCUUGACUUCUCGGCUGAGAAAUUCCCCAUAAAGUUAUCUCAAGCAUAGUUUUUAAACUCGGCCCAGUGGCUGGCCCGGUCCAAGGCCCGGGUUCCGGGUUUUGAUCGGGUCAGCUGGUCGCCCGGGUCAAUUCCUAUUUUAAAAAAAAUCAAAACAACAUCGUUUUAGUUAAAAAAACAAAAUUCAACGGGUUGCAACCGAGUUUUUGACCGGGUUUUGCCAGGUCAACCCGUCGGGUCAGCCAGGUUACACCGGGUCACACCGGGUCAUGACUUUUUGUAUUUUUUCUUUAACUUGGCCCGAUUCCAGCCCCGGGUCAACCGAAUCCUUGAUCGACCCGCCAGAUCGGACCGGAUUUCAAAACUAUGAUCUCAAGUAUGUUGUCGCUUACUCUCAACUCUAUUUCCUUGCGUGAAUCAACAAGUGAAAAGAAAAAACACAUGUGAAUUUCCGGCUUCCAAAGCAAUGGUUGUGUGCCUCCCCAUAAAAUAAUAUAUUGGAAAAGUUAAUGUGAUUUUUAAUGCAUGAACUUUUAUGAUUUCCUUAGACGAUGCUUAAUUUUAUUUGAAUAGAUUUCCCAGAUUAAAAAAUAAAUAAAAUAUGGAUUUCCCUCCAUUUGUGUCAACAUAUCUCUUGUCAUGUGAUAUGGCAUGGUGAUGUGUCAACAAUUGCUUAAGACACAUUAACUUUAAAACUCUAAAUUAAUUUUUAAAAUAGUGUAAAUGUACCAGAGUUAAUGAUACGUUUCAUUAUAUUAUGUUUUUUCAUUGAAAAGUGUGAAAAAAGAUGUUAAUGUUUAUAAAAUAACAUAUCAUAUGUAAAAGUCCUUUAAUUAGAAAAAAAAAAAAAAAACAUGAUAAAUGAGCCCACUUUCGAACGGAUCGAAGGUGCAGGAGAUCAAUUCCAACUUUUUUAAGUUGAGGGAUGGGUUUUAUAAUGAUUUAAAAGUUCAGAAAUGUUUUAUCUAUUUAGCUAAAUAUUAAUUUGCAAGGAAGAUUUGAAUCUAGCCACUCCAUCUUUGUUGUAAUCUGGACCUGUACUGUCUUGCCUUUUUAUUGGUAACGGUAAAAUUUCUAUCACUCAAAUUUCAUUAUGGAUUAUUUUUAAACAUGAAAAAUAAAUAAAUCUUCGUAUAUUUCUUUGCUAAUAGAACAUUGACACAUGGAAUGAGAUAUUCAAGAUAUUUUAUCAUAAAUAUAGGAUCUAAUCAAUUAAUAUCAAUCAAUAAAAUUAUGUUAUGUGAUAUUGUAAAGAAACCUGAGAGCCUUUAUGAAACUCUAUAAAUAGAGGGUCUCAACCUAGAAAGAGAGAAAGAAUUCUUAAAGAUACAUAAUUUUUUUUAAGACAAGCACUUCAAAUAAAGAAACUUUCUUAAAAGCUAUCAAGACUCAUUCAUCUACGCUUGAAACAAGGGUGGAACUAGGAGGAGGCAAGCAAGCGCCCGGGCCCUGCAAAACAUUUUAAAGUUUUAUAUUAUUUAGUAUUUAAAUAUGGAAUAGUAUAAUAUUUUUAUUUUAAAUAUACUAUACUAUUCAAUAUAUAAUAAUUUUAAUUUUCUUUUAAGACAAGCACUUCAAGUAAAGAAGUUUUCUUAAAAGCUAUCAAGACUCAUUCAUCUACGCUUGAAACAAGGGCGGAACUAGAGGGAGGUAAGCAGGGCCCCGGCCCUGCAAAACAUUUUAAAAUUUUAUAUUAUUUAGUAUUUAAAUAUGGAAUAGUAUAAUAUUUUUAUUUUAAAUAAAUAAAUUUUUUAAUAAUAUAUCUUGUUAUAUUAAUUUUGGCCUACCCUAUUAAAUUCUACCAGCAACGCCCGUAGUUUGAAAAUCUACAAAGAACAAAGUUCUAUUAAACCAAAACAUAGACGCCACAUAAAAGUUCUUCAACAACGCUUUAAAAAUAAAUCAAUAGUAGUUUUUAAAAUAUCAAAUCAUCAAAUCUCGUUUCGCAAUACACGUUUAAAUUUACGUUCUUACAAAACACAAAUCUUGAUUUAAUUUCACAAAUAAAUUAGGUCAUCAUAUUUCUACCUCUUUUAUUUCUCAUUGCCUCUCCUUUUUUAUUCUCAUCUUCUCUUCUCGUAGUCUUUUUGUGGUUUUCAAUUUAUUAGGUUUUGAAUUCAUAUAUGGUUAGAUUUUGUACAGCUUUACUUGUUUCACAGUUAGAUUUGUGUGGCCUGAUAUGAACAUUGCUGCAUUGCUUCAUCGCCUUUAAAAUAAUUCAAUCUUUUAUUUUUCUUCUUCAACUCUCUGCUCUUCAUCGCCUUUAAAAUAAUUAAAUAGAACUGUUGACCAUUAGUGGGAUAAUGAAAGGGGUCUCUCACCUCACAAUCUCUUGAGAUAUGACUUCAGAUCGGAGCAAAAACUUGGAUCUCCUGAAAAUUAAACCCAGCCAUACACACGCAAACCUUGAAGCAUUAAAAAGCUUCUUUGGCUGUAGAUUACCCGUUUGGUUACAUGUACGUCCAUGUUUCAUGCGGUUUCAUUUUGCAAGCUAUUAGGUUAAUUAAACAAAUAUUUGUUAUUAUUCAUGGGUCCCAUGGUCUGCUGCGUUUGAAACGCAAGAAAAAGGAAAGCAGCUAGGAGCUGCUUCCUGCGCGACAAAAUGUUGAACCGUGCUCCACUGUUCACGUGAACAAUUUUUUUUCUUCAAAAAACCAGUGUAGUUAAUUGAUUUCACUCGCACUGUUCACGUGAACGUGAACAACAAUUUUUUUUUGUUUUUUAAAAAAAUUAGUUUAAAGUGAAUUAAAUUUACUCGUACUGUAAUCUCAAUUUUAUUCCUGAUAAUAUUUUACCUAAUUUUGUAGUUCUUGUCGGAUGAAUUUUGUACAUAAAGGAAUUGUAGAUAGUUUAAUAGAACAAUAAAAAAAUUUUAUAUAAAGUAUGAUUUAUUUCAUGAUGUAAUAGCAAUAGUUAAAUCCACAAUAUUUAAAUUAAAAACUAUCAAUAUUAAUAUAUAUUUUUUUAAAUUAUUUUAUAACCUCAAUUUCAAAAGCAUUCUUAACCAAACACAUUAAACUACUUUUUCUUCAAUCUCAAUUUCAACCACAGUUUUAACUAAACACCUAUUUUUUCAAACCAACCUCAACUAAAAGUACUUUUUAUAAAACAACUUUUUUCAAACCACAACCACAACAGCUACCGCAAUACCAAACACAAAAGCCCCUUAACAAAGAAAAUUGCAGUGUUAUCACGGUCUAUCAAAGCUUCACUUUCAUUAUAUAUUUUGAUUUGUUUUUUUAGAGUGUUGUUAAUUACAAUCUCAUUAUCUGAAUUAUGAAUUUGACAAGUUAAUCCAGAUUGAUCCAGUAUAUAACUAUUUCAAUAUUUAAAAAAAUCAUUUAAUAUGUUACCGAAUUAAUAUUUUAAAAAAACACACCAUUCAAUAAACAUUAUCUUUUAAGUUUAUAAUUAAUUUUUCUUAUUGAGAAACAUGUCAAUAACGCUUCAACAUUUGUUUUUAAAUAAUAAUAAUAAUUGUGGUGGUGGUGGUAAUAAUAAUAAUAAUAAUAAUAAUGACAAUGAUGAAACUAGUGGUAAUGAUACUAGCAGUACUAACAACAACAAUAAUAAUGGUAAUGAAAUUGAUAAUAAAAAACAACUAAAAAGAUAAGGGGUUUCUUUAUAGCUAUAGAAACAAUCAACUAUUCACUAAAAUUGUCAAGCGAGGUUUAUGACAUUCAAAUAAAACAAAAAAGACUUAACUUGGAGGCAUAUGUGUUUUUGUAUUUUUACAUAGUUUAUUAGUCAUUAUAAAUUUGACUAGGGGUAUUUUUACCUAUUCAAUAUUUUUAAUAACAAUAAAAUAAUAAAAAUACUUCCAAUGAUAAAAGAAUCAACACGGCAGGGCAAUAGUAUUUCAAUAUUUUUAUUUUUUUUAUAAAUAGUCAAAUUACACGUGCGGUCUUAAAUCCAAGAGAUAUUAGUAAUUGAGAUUAGGAGUAUUAGGAUCUUUUAGCCUAAUUUUUUUUUGCUUGUUAAUUGUAUGAUUGAUUGAAGGUAAAAACAUAAUUUAACAUUUAAAUAAUAUUUUUAAUUUAAAAGAAAUACUGGCAUGUUGGGGCACUACUCACUUUGGGUGGUGGCUCUCUGUUACGAUCCUAGUCUACUGUUGGGGAAGUCUGGUGGAAAAUAUUAUUUACUUACUAGUAUUUUGUUAUCAUUUACUUGGUCUUUUGUUUGAAAUAGUCAAUAAUGUUGCUGUUGCUAAUUCCUUAGAAGCAGGAGUCAAAAUAACUAGUUUGUUAAGUAACAAACUAUGAGUACAAGUAGGAGUAAACUGAGGAAGCAACUCCUCUAAUUUUCUGUAUUUAAAUCCUUGUUUUAAAUGAAAUGAUAUCAAAUUCAAUCAUUCAAGAAAAAACCACUGUCUUUUGGAGGCCAAGUUACCCUCGAAGUAGCUUAUAUUCUCUUAUCUCUAUUUAGUUGCCGGCUUAAGCUAAGGUUUAUAACAGUGGUAUUAGAGCUAAGCUUCUUCUGCCAUCUUCAUCAACAACCUUAAAACCCAAGACCCCUCCCCUUCUUAUAUAUAUGGCUAACCAAGACGCCCUGGGAACUCGUUUUAAUGUCUUAUCCGAAACAGUUUCCAAGCAAGGUUCAAUGUUGCAACAAAUCAACACCUAUAUAACUGAUAUUCAACAAUAAAUUACAGCCCUUACCUUAUCCAUUGAAAAGCUCACCAAAGAACCAAAAUCUAUGAGAGAAGAACACAUUGUUGGACCUUCAAUAAGGCAUUCACUGGCUUCUAAUUCUAGCGGGUUACCGACAAAGGGGCUAAAGAUUGAUCUCUUCAAAUAUGAUGGCACUGAAGACCCCUCUGGCUGGACUUUACUAGCUGAUCAAUACUUCCUGUUACAUCAGAUCCCUCCAGCCCAACGUCUCAUUUAUGCUUCGUUCCACUUGAAGGGAGCAGCACUCCAAUAUUACAAAUAUUUACAACAUGCAGGUGAGCUUAAUGAUUGGGUGUUGUUUAUCCAAGCUCUUGAAAAGCAGUUUGGACCUACAAAAUAUGAGGAUCCAGAGGGAGAACUGUCAAAACUUCGUCAAACUUCCACAGUUGCAGCUUACCAAAGUCAGUUUGAGAAUUUGGCUCAACGAAUCGAUGGUCUUCCUGACAGAUUUCUCACACGCACUUUCAUUCAUGGUCUCAAAGAUGACAUCAAGACAAAUGUUAAGUCAUUCCGCCCCACUUCUUUAAAAGAUGCAAUAGGUCUCACUCGUCUCCAGGAGAAGAGUUCCUCAAGAGAUCGUAGAAGUUUUCCAAGACCCCAAGCACCCACCCAGACAGUUCCAGACCCAAAGGUGAAAAAGAUAUAUUUUGAAGAGAUGAAGGAGCGCCGGGAAAAAGGAUUGUGCUACAAUUAUGACGAGAAAUUCAGACCUGGCCACAAAUCUAAAUCUCUUACUCUCUUCCUUAUUGAUGGAAACAAUUAUUUUGAUGAAGAUAUGGACUGCUCUCUUGAUAGCGAUGUUAUUCCACAUCUAGAGAUAUCUGUUCAUGCCAUUGCAGGUGCCAUGAACCCCCAUACUAUGCGUGUCCCUGGUUAUUAUCACAAUAAGCCUCUUUACAUACUACUGGACUCUGGCUCUACUCAUAACUUCUUGGAUCCUUCAGUUGCAUCAAAGCUCAAUCUUCCUAUUUCUUGUAAGACCUCCUUUGAUGUCAUGGUGGCUAAUUGAGAUCGCUUAUAUAAUGAGGGACAAUGUCAAAGUAUAUUUAUUGACAUUCGAGUUCCAGUUACCUCAGAUUUUUACCUCAUUUCUCUCGGGGGAUAUGAUGUUGUUUUGGGUGCAUAUUGGCUCCAGACCCUCGGUCCCAUUUUAUAGGAUUUCUCCAAACUGACCAUGGAAUUUUGUUACCAAGGGAAAACAUAUAGGGUGGUUUUUAUACCUACAAAGAAGUUGUAUGUCCUCUCAUGUCACAAAUUGGAGAAACUUUUUCAGGUCCGACCGCCAAUUCUGAUUCUAGAUGUUUCACAGAUUUAUGCCAUCGACAACGUUUAUGAAGUUCCACCCACCAUCUAGGCAGUCAUUGAUGGUUUUUCUGAUAUGUUUUGUCCACCAUCAGGUUUGCCUCCUACUCGGUAUUAUGAUCAUCGCAUUAUACUUCCUCCAGGCACAUCACCUACUAAUGUUCGACCCUACCGGUACUCGAUGCUUCAGAAGGCUGAAAUUGAACGCAUGGUCAAAGAGAUGCUCCAUGAGGGAAUAAUUCAUCCAAGUCAUAACCCAUUCUCAUCUCCUGUCUUGUUAGUUCGCAAACAUGAUGGCACUUGGCGAUUAUGUGUUGAUUACCGUGCUUUGAACGCUGUCACAGUCAAGGAUCAGUUUCCUAUACCUGUGUUUGAUGAGCUUCUUGAUGAGCUUCAUGGGGCAACCAUCUUCUCCAAAUUAGACCUGAGAUCAGGUUUCCACCAAAUCAGGAUAGCCGACGAAGACAUUCCUAAAACUGCAUUUAGGACCCAUGACGGCCAUUACGAGUUCCUUGUUAUGCCUUUCGGCCUCACAAACGCACCAUUAACUUUUCAAAGCCUCAUGAAUGAAAUCUUUCAUCCAUUUUUAAGACAAUUCAUUCUAGUCUUCUUCGACGAUAUCCUGGUUUACAGCCAUUCAGAGGAAGAGCAUGUCAUUCAUCUUCAAAAAACUUUGGAGAUCCUUCGUCUUCAUAAACUGCAUGCUAAGUUGUCUAAAUGCCAUUUUGGGUGCUCUGAAAUUGAUUAUUUGAGACAUGUGAUUUUCGCUAACAGUGUUGUUGUUGAUCAGAAGAAGAUUGAAUCCAUCCUUCAAUGGCCUUUUCCAUCUUCGCUGAAAUCCUUGCGUGGAUUCCUUGGCCUCACUGGAUAUUACAGAAAGUUUGUGCAUGGUUAUGGGCAGAUUGCAAGACCUCUUACAGACAUGCUCAAAAAGGGGGCUUUUCGAUGGACUCCUACAUCUGAAUCAGCUUUCAAAGAACUUAAAAUGGCUAUGACUCGCCCACCAGUUCUAGCACUUCUUGAUUUCUCAAAAAAAGUUUGUGAUCGAGUGUGAUGCAUCGAGAAGUGGCAUUGGUGCAGUCCUCAUGCAAUCAGGACGUCCCUUGGCCUAUUUCAACCAAGCCUUGCAUGGUAAAAAUCUCCAACUCUCUACUUAUGAAAAAGAGCUGCUUGCACUCACCCUUGUUGUUCAGCGAUGGUGUCCUUAUUUGCUUAGCCGCAGUUUUAUAGUUCAAAUUGAUCAUCAUAGUCUGAAAUAUUUGCUUGAGCAAAGGAUGGGAACUCCUUCUCAACAACUCGUCUUAAAACGAAAAAGAAAAAAUCAAAGCCCAUAUAAUUUGCUAAAAUGAAUAUUAUAAAAAAGUUGCUAAAACGAAAUAAUAAAUUAUUAAUAUCGAAGAAAAUAAACAAGUUCUAAUAAAUCGAUAUAUACAUAACCCUCAUCUCAACAAAAAUAAAACCACAACACAAGACAACCCAAAUAUAAUAAUAAAUAAACCUUUAUUUCACCGUAUAAACAAAUAAAUAAAUAAUAGUACUAAAAAAAUCCCUCAAAAAAAGACUCUCAAAAGAGUAACAUGUAUAAAUCCCAUCCCAGUAAACAUAAAAAUAACCAAGAGAAUCUCAGAUCACAAAAACCACCUAGUGCCUCAAAAGAGAAAGCAUAGACAAGAAGAGAGAAGAGCAGAUAAGAGCCCCAGACAUCCCAAGAGAAAAGGAAGCAGCUCCCUUGUCCUUUCCAGGAGCUGGCGCUGGCGCUAACUCUCCAAGAUCUUGGGCGGAAACAGCAACACUGGCAAGCAUUGCCAUGACAACAGCAGCAGCAAACAACUUCAUUGCAGCAAAUGCCAUUGUACAAAAUCGGGUGUCAGGACACGAAAACAAACCCUUUCAAGAGAUAUACUGAGAGCGUAACCAAAUCUUGAAUAUUGUUCAGUGUUCUUGAUCCAGGGUGGUGAUGAGAAAGACGAAGUGGCAAGGGGUGUUUAUAUAGUGAGGGUUGGUGUAGGUUUUCACAAAGAAAACAUGUGGGGUCAUAGAUAACGUGGACAGCUGGAGAGACACGUUGAGGCAGAGAAACACAGAGGCCAGCAAUAAAACGGCUGGUGCUUAAAAAAAAUUUGAUUUUUAUUAACGUUAGCGGACACUUGGAGUCCUCAUUUUAUUUCCCUAUCUUGGUAAACCGUUACCUAACACUAGUUCCCAUGUCAAACACUCAACGUCAUUUGUGUUAACAUGGAAAGUUUACACAAAAAAUUGACUUCAAAUUAAUGGGAUUAAUUUAAGGAGAUCAAAGUUGAAAAACUAAUUUUUAAAUGAUCAUUUACCUGUUUUUUUAAAGACUACGUACUAUAUCUUUGUAGCACUAUUGUCGACCCGGCAAUAUUGAAAGGUAACAUGGUGAUUAAAAACUUCAAAUUAGUGUUUUUGUUCAACAUUCAAUGCAUAUAAAAAAAAAAGAGAACGAAAGCAGUUGAACUAGUCUGUUUGGGAGUAUAAUUAUGUUUGGAAAUAUAGUUAUGGUUAUUUUUUAAAAUAUUUUUCAUUUAAAAAUAUAUCUAAAUAAUUUUAUUUUUUUUUAUAAAUUAUUUUUGACACCAGAACAUCAAAACGAUAUAAAAACAUAAAAAAUAUAUUAAUUCAAAAAAAAAUUAAUUUUUUUAAAAAUAUUUUUAAAAUACAAAAAUAAACAGAAUCUCUUCAACAGACAUGAUGUGUUUUAUUAAUUUUGAAUUAUGGGAUAGUGACCUAAUUAAUUUAACAAUUCAACAUCUUAAUUAAUAUUCUUAAUUAUAAGAGUUUCUUCAUCCGGCCAUGUUUGACGUCCUUUAUUCUAAACUCAUCCAAGCGCUGGUUGUACGUACAAUGAAAUCAACACCAAACAUAUAAAAUAUCAAGAGAGAAGUAGUUCUUUCUCACAUCAACUAAUUAGAGGAGGAAAGUAUUUUUUUGUUUUAGAGAGAGAAAAGAUGGAAAUAAAUUAAUUUUAUUCAAUGUGUGGGAUUGAAAAGAUCAUGAUUAAAUUGACGCUAAGGGUUUAAGUAAUUAUGAUAAAGGAAAAUAAAUUAAUGUGUGGGAUUGAAAAGAUCAAGAUUAAUACGAUCUAUAUUUGUUAAAACAGGACUUACUGAUAAUUUGUCCAAAGAAUAAGGUCAUGUCUGCAAAUAACAGGGUUGCUCUCUUUGUUGAAAUCUAAUAGUUAUCCGCUGUACUGAGUAAAAGCAAUGUGUUGCCGAUGUCAAAUCACACGUUUUAUUCGUACAGUGUUUAUGAGGUAGAGAAUUCAAAUCUUCAUUGUGUUGCUGAUGUCGAUAACAAAUCGGUAUCUGACAUUACAUGCGUUUUAUUCGUACAGUGUUUAUGAGGUAGAGAAUUCAAAUCUUCAUUGUGUUGCCGAUGUCGAUAACAAAUCGGUAUCUGACAUCUGUUUUCGAAAGCCGCUCCAUGGCUGUGUUCACAUAAUCCAUCGAGAUAACCUCAAUAUCUGCCGUGAUGUUGUUCUUGGCAGCAAAA